RNAcentral lists this ribosomal RNA (948 nucleotides) under Didymella infuscatispora. Its description in RNAcentral is "eukaryotic LSU rRNA". It matches the Rfam family "Eukaryotic large subunit ribosomal RNA", at positions 80 to 1048 of the family's 3401-position model. Lineage: Eukaryota; Fungi; Ascomycota; Dothideomycetes; Pleosporales; Didymellaceae. The record is from RNAcentral.
UUAGUAACGGCGAGUGAAGCGGCAACAGCUCAAAUUUGAAAUCUGGCGUCUUUGGCGUCCGAGUUGUAAUUUGCAGAGGGCGCUUUGGCAUUGGCAGCGGUCCAAGUUCCUUGGAACAGGACGUCACAGAGGGUGAGAAUCCCGUACGUGGUCGCUAGCCUUUACCGUGUAAAGCCCCUUCGACGAGUCGAGUUGUUUGGGAAUGCAGCUCUAAAUGGGAGGUAAAUUUCUUCUAAAGCUAAAUACUGGCCAGAGACCGAUAGCGCACAAGUAGAGUGAUCGAAAGAUGAAAAGCACUUUGGAAAGAGAGUUAAAAAGCACGUGAAAUUGUUGAAAGGGAAGCGCUUGCAGCCAGACUUGCCUGUAGUUGCUCAUCUAGGUUUCUACCUAGUGCACUCUUCUAUAGGCAGGCCAGCAUCAGUUUGGGCGGUUGGAUAAAGGUCUCUGUCAUGUACCUCUCUUCGGGGAGAACUUAUAGGGGAGACGACAUGCAACCAGCCUGGACUGAGGUCCGCGCAUCUGCUAGGAUGCUGGCGUAAUGGCUGUAAGCGGCCCGUCUUGAAACACGGACCAAGGAGUCUAACAUCUAUGCGAGUGUUUGGGUGUCAAGCCCGAACGCGUAAUGAAAGUGAACGGAGGUGGGAACCUUUCGGGGUGCACCAUCGACCGAUCCUGAUGUCUUCGGAUGGAUUUGAGUAAGAGCAUAGCUGUUGGGACCCGAAAGAUGGUGAACUAUGCUUGAAUAGGGUGAAGCCAGAGGAAACUCUGGUGGAGGCUCGCAGCGGUUCUGACGUGCAAAUCGAUCGUCAAAUUUGGGCAUAGGGGCGAAAGACUAAUCGAACUAUCUAGUAGCUGGUUCCUGCCGAAGUUUCCCUCAGGAUAGCAGUAACGUUUUCAGUUUUAUGAGGUAAAGCGAAUGAUUAGAGGCCUGGGGGUUGAAACAACCUU